UACGUAGGGACCGAGCGUUGUCCGGAAUCAUUGGGCGUAAAGAGCGUGUAGGCGGCUUGUUAAGUCUUGCGUGAAAUCUCGGGGCUCAACCCCGAGCGGUCGUGAGAAACUGGCAGGCUAGAGUGCGGGAGAGGAGAGUGGAAUUCCUGGUGUAGCGGUGAAAUGCGCAGAUAUCAGGAAGAACACCGGUGGCGAAGGCGGGUCUCUGGGCCGAUACUGACGCUGAGGAGCGAAAGCGUGGGGAGCGAACAGG
Molecule: ribosomal RNA, 253 nt
Filed under: uncultured bacterium
Lineage: Bacteria
Description: partial 16S ribosomal RNA
Rfam family: Bacterial small subunit ribosomal RNA
Source: RNAcentral